Molecule: ribosomal RNA, 253 nt
Filed under: uncultured bacterium
Lineage: Bacteria
Description: partial 16S ribosomal RNA
Rfam family: Bacterial small subunit ribosomal RNA
Source: RNAcentral
UACGUAGGUGGCAAGCGUUGUCCGGAAUUACUGGGUGUAAAGGGAGCGUAGGCGGGGUGAUAAGUCAGAAGUGAAAAUUAUGGGCUCAACUCAUAACCUGCUUUUGAAACUGUCGCUCUUGAGUGAAGUAGAGGCAAGCGGAAUUCCUAGUGUAGCGGUGAAAUGCGUAGAUAUUAGGAGGAACACCAGUGGCGAAGGCGGCUUGCUGGGCUUUUACUGACGCUGAGGCUCGAAAGCGUGGGGAGCAAACAGG